RNAcentral lists this ribosomal RNA (253 nucleotides) under uncultured bacterium. RNAcentral's name for it is "partial 16S ribosomal RNA". It matches the Rfam family "Bacterial small subunit ribosomal RNA", at positions 524 to 776 of the family's 1533-position model. The record is from RNAcentral.
UACGUAGGGGGCAAGCGUUGUCCGGAUUUAUUGGGCGUAAAGAGCGUGUAGGCGGUCAUGUAGGUCCGUUGUGAAAACUCGAGGCUCAACCUCGAGACGCCGAUGGAAACCAUGUGGCUAGAGUCCGGAAGAGGAGAGUGGAAUUCCUGGUGUAGCGGUGAAAUGCGCAGAUAUCAGGAAGAACACCCGUGGCGAAGGCGGCUCUCUAGUACGGUACUGACGCUGAGACGCGAAAGCGUGGGGAGCGAACAGG